UAAGGAAUAUUGGGCAAUGGCCUAACGGCUGACCCAGCAACGCCGCGUGACUGAUGAAGUUCUACGGAACGUAAAGGUCUGUUAGGAGGGAAGAACAGUAUCGAAGUGAAUAAUUUCGAUGCAUGACGGUACUUCCAGAGAAAGCACCGGCUAACUCCGUGCCAGCAGCCGCGGUAAUACGGGGGGUGCAAGCGUUGUCCGGAAUUACUGGGCGUAAAGGGUGGGUAGGCGGGCUGGUAAGUCCAGCGUUUAAUCUGUCCGCUUAACGGACAAUAUGCGUUGGAAACUGCCAGUCUUGAGUCGCGUAGAGGAAGGUGGAAUUCCUGGUGUAGCGGUGAAAUGUGUAGAUAUCAGGAAGAACACCGGUAGCGAAGGCGGCCUUCUGGGCGCCGACUGACGCUGAGCCACGAAAGUGUGGGGAGCAAACAGG
This 430-nucleotide ribosomal RNA is filed under the name uncultured bacterium. RNAcentral's name for it is "bacterial SSU rRNA". It matches the Rfam family "Bacterial small subunit ribosomal RNA", at positions 355 to 776 of the family's 1533-position model. The record is from RNAcentral.